This is a non-coding RNA of Pelobates cultripes (western spadefoot toad), 236 nucleotides long. The record is from the annotation of a GenBank genome assembly. Lineage: Eukaryota; Metazoa; Chordata; Amphibia; Anura; Pelobatidae.
UGAUUUUCAAAAAUAGUAGGUUUGAAGGAUUUCCUAAGGAACAGGAGACCACUGUGUAGUGGCAUGAGAAAGGGCACUGCAUAAGAUUUGGCUUAGCCCUAGAUAGGUCUUGUAGGUUAGUUUUGUAUGUGUAAAUGGAGAUUGUGGGUAGACUUAGUCUGAUCUGCUGGCAGAAAAAAAGGUGUUGUGUUAGUGUUUUUGGUGAUUAGUGAUGAUAUCUUUGUAUCAGUAUGGAG